This 72-nucleotide transfer RNA is filed under the name Desulfotomaculum nigrificans CO-1-SRB. RNAcentral's name for it is "Desulfotomaculum carboxydivorans CO-1-SRB tRNA". It matches the Rfam family "tRNA". From Rfam's summary of the family: Transfer RNA (tRNA) molecules are approximately 80 nucleotides in length. Lineage: Bacteria; Bacillati; Bacillota; Clostridia; Eubacteriales; Desulfotomaculaceae. The record is from Rfam by way of RNAcentral.
GGGCGAGUAGUUCAGUGGGAGAACGUCUGCUUCACACGCAGAAGGUCGUUGGUUCGAUACCAAUCUCGCCCA